This 433-nucleotide ribosomal RNA is filed under the name uncultured bacterium. Its description in RNAcentral is "partial 16S ribosomal RNA". It matches the Rfam family "Bacterial small subunit ribosomal RNA", at positions 29 to 507 of the family's 1533-position model. The record is from RNAcentral.
AACGAACGCUGGCGGCAUGCCUAACACAUGCAAGUCGAACGAGACCUUCGGGUCUAGUGGCGCACGGGUGCGUAACGCGUGGGAACUUGCCCUUAGGUUCGGAAUAACUCCCCGAAAGGGGUGCUAAUACCGGUUAAUGUCAUCGGACCAAAGAUUUAUCGCCUUUGGAUGGGCCCGCGUUGGAUUAGCUAGUUGGUAGGGUAAAAGCCUACCAAGGCGACGAUCCAUAGCUGGUCUGAGAGGAUGAUCAGCCACACUGGGACUGAGACACGGCCCAGACUCCUACGGGAGGCAGCAGUGGGGAAUAUUGGACAAUGGGCGAAAGCCUGAUCCAGCAAUGCCGCGUGAGUGAUGAAGGCCUUAGGGUUGUAAAGCUCUUUUACCCGGGAUGAUAAUGACAGUACCGGGAGAAUAAGCUCCGGCUAACUCCGUG